GAUGAACGCUGGCGGCGUGCCUAAUACAUGCCAGUCGAGCGAACGGACGAGAAGCUUGCUUCUCUGAUGUUAGCGGCGGACGGGUGAGUAACACGUGGAUAACCUACCUAUAAGACUGGGAUAUCUUCGGGAAACCGGAGCUAAUACCGGAUGAUAUUUUGAACCGCAUGGUUCAAAAGUGAAAGACGGUCUUGCUGUCACUUAUAGAUGGAUCCGCGCUGCAUUAGCUAGUUGGUAAGGUAACGGCUUACCAAGGCAACGAUGCAUAGCCGACCUGAGAGGGUGAUCGGCCACACUGGAACUGAGACACGGUCCAGACUCCUACGGGAGGCAGCAGUAGGGAAUCUUCCGCAAUGGGCGAAAGCCUGACGGAGCAACGCCGCGUGAGUGAUGAAGGUCUUCGGAUCGUAAAACUCUGUUAUUAGGGAAGAACAUAUGUGUAAGUAACUGUGCACAUCUUGACGGUACCUAAUCAGAAAGCCACGGCUAACUACGUG
Molecule: ribosomal RNA, 497 nt
Filed under: uncultured bacterium
Lineage: Bacteria
Description: partial 16S ribosomal RNA
Rfam family: Bacterial small subunit ribosomal RNA
Source: RNAcentral